Molecule: long non-coding RNA, 1533 nt
Organism: Uranotaenia lowii
Lineage: Eukaryota; Metazoa; Arthropoda; Insecta; Diptera; Culicidae
Exons: 4
Source: RefSeq, a predicted model, not a curated record
AACCAAAUCUGGCAAUAAAAUGUAAAAGGUCAUUUUAAUGAAUUCUAAAAUGCAGUGUGUGAUAGGAGCUAAUCAUAAAUUCAUUAGAAAGUAUAGGAAAAUCCAAUGAUUUCCAACAGGUUGUUAUAGCCAUCCAAAUAUACACAAAAUUCCUAUAAAUUCUAGCUGUGUACCGUUGAUAUACAUCUGAAAGGAAACAGUUAACUCAUUUGUUCAUUGUUCUUGAUUGCAGCUCGAUUGGGACAUUUCGGUUAAAAAUCUCCGAACAUCAACGCCAAUUCAUGAACAUAGAACAAUCGCAUGAAAUGAAAAAAAAAACCUUCCUCGAUUUUUGUUUCCUUCGACGAAAUUAUCUGCAGCUGUUGAACAAAAUUUUGCCCCUUUUAGAGAUGGUAUUCAACAACGGAAAAAGACCAUUAUCGGAUUUCAUAAUGCUGCGCAGAAAUGAACCGGUUCGGAAGUAUUUUAAUAUUUUAAGUUCCAUGAAUGUUCAGAAAAAACAACUAGUAGUUUCCUGAACCAUCGCCUCAGCUAAAAUAAACUUUUCGGAACAAAAUUUCAUGACCAGUAACAUAAUAUUAUCUUCAACGGAUUUGCUCUGUGAUUUUGGAUUCUGACUUUUUGAUAUUUUUCAACUGAAAGUUGUAGCUGAAAUUAUAAAAAUGAUGUCAGUGUCAUGGAAAUGAACAGACGAGUAUUGAGUUAUGAUAUGCAAAGGAUGGUAUAGGACCAAUCACAACAAACGAAUGCACGCAAUACAGCCAAAAUAAUUGGGCCACAACACCUUAAAAAUGUAAUUAACUGGCUGGUCGGAGACGAAGAAUGACUACCGGAACCAGAAUAACCAAAUUACGAAGUUGAUAGUUUUAACUAAACCGUGACAAACUCCAAAAGGCGCAGGAUGAUGGAACUAGCAUAUGGGCUCAAAUGUCUCAGACUAUUCAUAAGUUGAAAGUCUCGCAAACUUCCUUAUGGUAGAGGGCAAGCCAGAACAUCCGCCCAUCAAGGACAAAUACAACAAGGGAUGCUGACUCAUAGGCCAAACGGUAUCUGAACUCGGUCAUCGGAAAUGUCUACCGCAUCUGCUACUGGUAAAACUAUUUUUCGUUCAUUCGUCUCGCAUCACUCGUCGUGUGCAGUCGCUUUUUGUUGCCUUUCGAUAAUCGCGAACAAGUGAGUGAGACUUCGUCCACUAUAUCCGGGAGUUAGUGCCGUUCGGACGGUUAAAGGGUGUUUUGUGCCGUGUUUCCUGCCAGAGGCAGAUGAAAUUGACUUUCCCCAGCUAAUCGGGAGUUCAAUUAAUGACUGUUGCUAGUGAGUGCUAAUUUUGUGGCUAGCAAAGGCAAUCGGAAAAAAACAAUAGGUCACCACGAGGGCCGCCGCCAUUGUUUGGCGAACCAUUGUCAUCAUCAUCAUUGUCAUCAUCAAACGGGUCGUGCUCGCCCGAAACCGAGUGGAGGCGUGGCAGCCAUCUUCGAUCGAGGAAGGACCACGUGGUUGGAUCAAUCACCAAAGGAGCCAAAUUAAUCGAAA